GCCAUGGGGGGGUGAGCAGGUGCAGGUUUUUUAACACUAGGGAUCCCGAAAGGAAAUGGAGACAGUUACGACGAGCGGAUUCACGAAGCGUGCUGCUACGCGAGGGAUUUUGCUGACACCAAAACAAAAUAGUGCCAAGGACAUCGAGAUACGUGAAACGUCAUAAAAAUGUGGGGGAACGUCACGUGAUAAGGAAGUGGAAGUAGAUCCGGUGUGGAACUGACGUAGAAAGGACCCAAUGAGCGAGCAAGAACUGAGAAGAGGCCGUCACUGUAACCCCGCCCAUAAGCUGGGAGCCGACGAGUACUGCUUACUCUUCUAAUCGGAGCUUGGGCACUUGUAAACAGCCACCCUACCCUCCACCACUUCUAAACUGGAUGGCCUCUGCAGAUGCACUUUAGCGCCUCCAAACCCGGAUCUCCCAAAGGCAAUCCACCAAAAGACAAAACAUAAAACUCUUAUCCCCUUUA
Monodelphis domestica (gray short-tailed opossum) is the source of this 470-nucleotide non-coding RNA. Lineage: Eukaryota; Metazoa; Chordata; Mammalia; Didelphimorphia; Didelphidae. The record is from RefSeq and is a predicted model, not a curated record.